CGGUGGAGCAUGUGGUUUAAUUCGAUGAUACGCGAGGAACCUUACCUGGGCUCAAAUGUAUGUUGACGUAUUCUGAAAGGGAUACUUCUUCGGACAAUAUACAAGGUGCUGCAUGGUUGUCGUCAGCUCGUGCCGUGAGGUGUCGGGUUAAGUCCCAUAACGAGCGCAACCCCUAUCAUUAGUUGCCAUCAGGUCAAGCUGGGGACUCUAAUGAAACUGCCUACGCAAGUAGUGAGGAAGGUGGGGAUGACGUCAAAUCAGCACGGCCCUUACGUCCAGGGCUACACACGUGCUACAAUGGCCGAUACAGAGGGCAGCUACCUGGUGACAGGAUGCAAAUCUCCAAAGUCGGUCUCAGUUCGGAUCGGAGUCUGCAACCCGACUCCGUGAAGUUGGAUUCGCUAGUAAUCGCGCAUCAGCCAUGGCGCGGUGAAUACGUUCCCGGGCCUU
This 450-nucleotide ribosomal RNA is filed under the name uncultured Sphingobacteriales bacterium. RNAcentral describes it as "bacterial SSU rRNA". It matches the Rfam family "Bacterial small subunit ribosomal RNA", at positions 930 to 1382 of the family's 1533-position model. Lineage: Bacteria; Pseudomonadati; Bacteroidota; Sphingobacteriia; Sphingobacteriales. The record is from RNAcentral.